GAUGAACGCUGGCGGCGUGCCUAAUACAUGCAAGUCGAGCGAACAGACGAGGAGCUUGCUCCUCUGACGUUAGCGGCGGACGGGUGAGUAACACGUGGAUAACCUACCUAUAAGACUGGGAUAACUUCGGGAAACCGGAGCUAAUACCGGAUAAUAUAUUGAACCGCAUGGUUCAAUAGUGAAAGACGGUUUUGCUGUCACUUAUCGAUGGAUCCGCGCCGCAUUAGCUAGUUGGUAAGGUAACGGCUUACCAAGGCAACGAUGCGUAGCCGACCUGAGAGGGUGAUCGGCCACACUGGAACUGAGACACGGUCCAGAAUCCUACGGGAGGCAGCAGUAGGGAAUCUUCCGCAAUGGGCGAAAGCCUGACGGAGCAACGCCGCGUGAGUGAUGAAGGUCUUCGGAUCGUAAAACUCUGUUAUUAGGGAAGAACAAAUGUGUAAGUAACUAUGCACGUCUUGACGGUACCUAAUCAGAAAGCCACGGCUAACUACGUG
This 497-nucleotide ribosomal RNA is filed under the name uncultured bacterium. RNAcentral's name for it is "partial 16S ribosomal RNA". It matches the Rfam family "Bacterial small subunit ribosomal RNA", at positions 28 to 507 of the family's 1533-position model. The record is from RNAcentral.